GACGAACGCUGGCGGCGUGCCUAAUACAUGCAAGUAGAACGCUGAAGGAGGAGCUUGCUUCUCUGGAUGAGUUGCGAACGGGUGAGUAACGCGUAGGUAACCUGCCUGGUAGCGGGGGAUAACUAUUGGAAACGAUAGCUAAUACCGCAUAAUAGUAGAUGUUGCAUGACAUUUGCUUAAAAGGUGCAAUUGCAUCACUACCAGAUGGACCUGCGUUGUAUUAGCUAGUUGGUGGGGUAACGGCUCACCAAGGCGACGAUACAUAGCCGACCUGAGAGGGUGAUCGGCCACACUGGGACUGAGACACGGCCCAGACUCCUACGGGAGGCAGCAGUAGGGAAUCUUCGGCAAUGGACGGAAGUCUGACCGAUCAACGCCGCGUGAGUGAAGAAGGUUUUCGGAUCGUAAAGCUCUGUUGUAAGAGAAGAACGAGUGUGAGAGUGGAAAGUUCACACUGUGACGGUAUCUGACCAGAAAGGGACGGCUAACUACGUG
RNAcentral lists this ribosomal RNA (495 nucleotides) under uncultured bacterium. RNAcentral describes it as "partial 16S ribosomal RNA". It matches the Rfam family "Bacterial small subunit ribosomal RNA", at positions 28 to 507 of the family's 1533-position model. The record is from RNAcentral.